CGCUUAUCCAGAGUGGCUGAGGGAACAGGCCCGACGAAGCCACAGCAACCAGGCGCGAGAGCCCAGGUGCUACUUCCUGCCCGAUAACCGGGAGAGAUAAGAG
This 103-nucleotide non-coding RNA is filed under the name Acidobacteriota bacterium. RNAcentral's name for it is "Acidobacteria bacterium SAM-I sequence". It matches the Rfam family "SAM riboswitch aptamer (S box leader)". Rfam says of the family: The SAM riboswitch is found upstream of a number of genes which code for proteins involved in methionine or cysteine biosynthesis in Gram-positive bacteria. The SAM riboswitch acts at the level of transcription termination control. The record is from RNAcentral. Lineage: Bacteria; Pseudomonadati; Acidobacteriota.